GGGGGACAUAAAGGGAAACCCACACACCCAAGGAGGAGGGCUCUGGCCAUGCAAGGCUGAAGGCCCAGUGUACUGAUAUGAAAACUGAAGCUCAGACAGAAGAGGCGACGUUGCUUUCUUAACCACUGGAUUUGCAGUGCUGUGGUUCUCAGAAGAGGCCAGGACAGGUUAAUCCACUCACUUGGGAGGCAGAAGGAAAUCUUUCCAUAUCACCCAGGCUGAUCUUCAACGAACUGGACUCAAGUAUUCCUCCCACCUCGGCCUCCAGGGGGGACUGUUUGACGCCAGAGUGGAGACGGUCAGGCAGCCACUCGGGCCUUGGAAGCAAAGUCAAAAAUCUCUCCCAAAUCCUCUCUCCCUGCUCCUGUUGAUUGGGUGCCCUCACCUUGCUGCACAGCGGUUAUGAUGGACUGUCCCAUGACUGCUUUCCUGGUUUGAAAACUUGGACUCUUGAAUCAAAUGAAUUCCACUUCAUAUGCUUUUAUUUUGCAGAAACAUUUCAAGUUAACUUCUCAAGGAAAAUCCUUCUGAAAUGUAAAAUUACUGAAUUCCUCCUUGUUGAAUGUACAGCUGGUAUAAAAAUGGUGCUUUGUCGUCAUGAAGAAGGUGUAUUCUGGGAUCAAACCACCUGGCUGGAGAUGCUUACUAACCUCAGUUUCUUCAUCUGACCUUACCUUUCUAAAAGAAUAAGAAGAAGAUGAUACAUAUUCCUCUAAAGUCCCAACAGGAACCUUUUCCCCUCACUCCCUCCCCAGAGAUGUGUAUCAUUUCCAUGAGUGUCUGUACUUUUACAACAUGUGCAUAUUAAUAAACAAAAUAUGACAAAUUAUUUUGUCUUAAUAUUUGCAUAAAUCUAGCCAUACUCUACACCACUUUUGCAACUUUCACUAUUAUAUAUUUUGAAGAUUAUCCGUGUUUAUGCACAUAAGUUUAUCAUUUUAACUGUUGAAUAGUGUUUCAUUAUAUGAAUUAACCAUAAUUCAUCUAUUUCCCUGAGUGACAAUUAGGUUUCUUUUUGUUUUUAUGCUCUGAUGAACAAUCUUGCAAUUAUUAUCUUUGUAUAUGUCUUCAUGUAUAAGAAAUUCUCCAGGGUAGACACUUAGAAGUAAAGGGUCUGACUCAGAGAGUCUGUGUAUUUUAAAAUGUAUUGGUUAUUGUCAAAUUGUUCCUCAAAGUAGAUGUACCAAUUUACAUUCCUACAGUGGUAUAUAACAGUUUUUUUUUCUCCACAUCCUCUUCAACACUCGUCAUUACCAG
RNAcentral lists this long non-coding RNA (1257 nucleotides) under Homo sapiens (human). RNAcentral describes it as "HSALNT0162795". The record is from RNAcentral. Lineage: Eukaryota; Metazoa; Chordata; Mammalia; Primates; Hominidae.